RNAcentral lists this ribosomal RNA (459 nucleotides) under uncultured bacterium. RNAcentral describes it as "partial 16S ribosomal RNA". It matches the Rfam family "Bacterial small subunit ribosomal RNA", at positions 28 to 523 of the family's 1533-position model. The record is from RNAcentral.
GAUGAACGCUGGCGGCGUGCCUAAUACAUGCAAGUCGAGCGGUAAGGCCACUUCGGUGGUACACGAGCGGCGGACGGCUGAGUAACACGUAGAAACGUACCCCAAACUGAGGGAUAACUGCUCGAAAGAGUAGCUAAUACCGCAUGUGCCCUACGGAGUAAAGCUACGGCGGUUUGGGAACGGCCUGCGCAUGAUUAGCUUGUUGGUGAGGUAAUGGCUCACCAAGGCGACGAUCAUUAGCUGGUCUGAGAGGAUGAUCAGCCAGACUGGGACUGAGACACGGCCCAGACUCCUACGGGCGGCAGCAGUAGGGAAUUUUCCACAAUGGGGGCAACCCUGAUGGAGCAACGCCGCGUGCAGGAUGAAGGCCCUUGGGUCGUAAACUGCUUUUAUCUGUGAAGAUUAUGACGGUAGCAGAUGAAUAAGGAUCGGCUAACUCCGUGCCAGCAGCCGCGGUAA